This 490-nucleotide ribosomal RNA is filed under the name uncultured bacterium. Its description in RNAcentral is "partial 16S ribosomal RNA". It matches the Rfam family "Bacterial small subunit ribosomal RNA", at positions 30 to 507 of the family's 1533-position model. The record is from RNAcentral.
AUUGAACGCUGGCGGCAGGCCUAACACAUGCAAGUCGAACGGUAACAGGAAGAAGCUUGCUUCUUUGCUGACGAGUGGCGGACGGGUGAGUAAUGUCUGGGAAACUGCCUGAUGGAGGGGGAUAACUACUGGAAACGGUAGCUAAUACCGCAUAACGUCGCAAGACCAAAGAGGGGGACCUUCGGGCCUCUUGCCAUCGGAUGUGCCCAGAUGGGAUGAGCUAGUAGGUGGGGUAACGGCUCACCUAGGCGACGAUCCCUAGCUGGUCUGAGAGGAUGACCAGCCACACUGGAACUGAGACACGGUCCAGACUCCUACGGGAGGCAGCAGUGGGGAAUAUUGCACAAUGGGCGCAAGCCUGAUGCAGCCAUGCCGCGUGUAUGAAGAAGGCCUUCGGGUUGUAAAGUACUUUCAGCGGGGAGGAAGGGAGUAAAGUUAAUACCUUUACUCAUUGACGUUACCCGCAGAAGAAGCACCGGCUAACUCCGUG